RNAcentral lists this long non-coding RNA (907 nucleotides) under Aedes aegypti (yellow fever mosquito). RNAcentral's name for it is "lncRNA AAEL023606". Lineage: Eukaryota; Metazoa; Arthropoda; Insecta; Diptera; Culicidae. The record is from RNAcentral.
UCAAAUUUCGCUCAUCCGUGGCGUUGAAGACGACGAUCGCCACUUCUUGUUAUUUUACUGCUGGCUGACGACUGAUAACUCAAAGACCGUGAUUGCUAGGUAGCCAAACAUAAGGUAGGGUCAGUUAUUUGAGGUUUUUGUUACGUGCUUGCAGUUCCGAGUGAUGCCAGUUGAAAGAUUCCUCUUCCGAUCAUGUAGAUGAUGACUGCAGUCUAUCUGGUUUGCGUGUCUGAACGCAACGAAAUCUCCUGUAUUUCAUUCGAACUUCCUGGACUCGCAAAAAAGUUUUGGACAUUGACUAAAAAACAUUCCACUUGUUCUCAACGAAUCAACCAUCACAACCAUAUCUUAUCAGGAAACGAAAGCUGCAUUUGCCGUUUCGAAGAGAUCGCUACGUGUCGUCAUCGAUGUGACGUCGACUCUCUCACUUGGCAGGCUCCGUGCGAUUCAAGUUUACUGACAUCAUACCCGCUAAGAGUUGAUUUCAUUUUCAGCGACGUUCCAUGGCUCGAUUCAACGAUCUCUGCGGUUGGCUCUGUUAGGUACGAUGGCGUGAAUUAGUCAGUUGACCGACGUUCAAUCGCGCGGAUCAACCAAAACUUUCCGACUGGCUGAACAGCGGUGAGCCUCGACCGUGAAUGGAUUUAUUGCAAUGGCAACAUCAUUAUCGAUACAGGUUAACUUUGUACUAUUUACAAUAAAUAUUCAUUAGGGUUUUUUUUUCAUAUAUUCAUGCGAAAAUCAACGCAAUGAAACAGAAUAUCAAUGAUCAAUAUAUAGUGUAAUUAAUUUUCAAUAAGGUUCAAAUAAUGUAUAAUGACCCCACAGUUAUGGAUCAAUUAGUGUCAAAUCCAACCUAUUCAAUUCAAAAUGAACAAUAAAGAAUACAUAAAAUUUAAAUGGAAAA